AGCCCUAUCGCCAAGCGGUAAGGCACAGUACUUUGACUGCUGCAUUCGUUGGUCCGAAUCCAACUAGGGCUG
This 72-nucleotide transfer RNA is filed under the name Caudoviricetes sp. RNAcentral's name for it is "tRNA-Gln". It matches the Rfam family "tRNA". Rfam says of the family: Transfer RNA (tRNA) molecules are approximately 80 nucleotides in length. The record is from RNAcentral. Lineage: Duplodnaviria; Heunggongvirae; Uroviricota; Caudoviricetes.